Molecule: ribosomal RNA, 253 nt
Filed under: uncultured bacterium
Lineage: Bacteria
Description: partial 16S ribosomal RNA
Rfam family: Bacterial small subunit ribosomal RNA
Source: RNAcentral
UACGAAGGGGGCUAGCGUUGCUCGGAAUCACUGGGCGUAAAGGGUGCGUAGGCGGGUCUUUAAGUCAGGGGGGAAAUCCUGGAGCUCAACUCCAGAACUGCCUUUGAUACUGAAGAUCUUGAGUUCGGGAGAGGUGAGUGGAACUGCGAGUGUAGAGGUGAAAUUCGUAGAUAUUCGCAAGAACACCAGUGGCGAAGGCGGCUCACUGGCCCGAUACUGACGCUGAGGCACGAAAGCGUGGGGAGCAAACCGG